Molecule: unclassified non-coding RNA, 2162 nt
Organism: Actinia tenebrosa (Australian red waratah sea anemone)
Lineage: Eukaryota; Metazoa; Cnidaria; Anthozoa; Actiniaria; Actiniidae
Source: RefSeq, a predicted model, not a curated record
CACUUGUCCGAAAUGUCUUGAUUAAAAGUUUCUGAUCGCAGGUGUUUCCGCAAUCUUGCUUGAACUGCACGAGUCGCGUAGCCUGAAGAACGAGACGAUUAAUCGCGAAAAGGAACAAAUACUUCAUCAAGCGGGAUAAAGACGCUGGCACAUCACAGACACUACCGCAGCAGUUGUUCCAUAUAUUCUUCUUCCUCAUCUCGAUCCAGUCGCCGUGGUUUGUUUAACGGUCGCCUAUGCCGUCAUCAUUCCCACAUCACUUGCGGGUAACAUCAUGAACAUCUACGCUAUCAGGAGGAACCCUACACUUAAAACAACGACUAACUUCCUCAUCUUAAAUCUUUCGAGUGCGGACCUUAUCACCACCUUCUUGAGCUGUCCUUACAGGAUAGCUUCAGUAUUCGUCRGUAGAAGGUGGUUUCAAGGACUCUUUGCUGAUUUCUUCUGCAAAUUCUUGUCUUACUCAAAAAAUGUGACUUUAACUGCAUCUAUUAUUACUCUGGUGCUUAUCUCAAUCGACAGAUUCUAUUCCGUAUACUACCCUACCAAGAGAUCACCAAUUGCUACUCACAAAAGAAAACUUGUCCUGGUUACUUGGAUAGUAUCGAUUUUACUACCAAUAAUCACCUACAUAGAACAAAAGAACACUCUCUUCGCCGACGGCAAUUAUUACUGUUAUUACAAAUCUGUUCUUGGCCCAGUAGCUGUCAGCACAAUAGUAGCGUACGCUACAUUAAAAACAUUUCUUUUCUUUUCUGCACCUAUCGCAAUCAUGUGCACAUUGUACUCCCUCAUCUACAAUAAACUAUGGAACAGAACAGCUAUAGGAAGCAACUCACAAAAUGUGGCCAUCAACAAGCGCGUUACCACGGCAAUGGUUGCCAUAGUGACUAACUUUAUCAUAUGUUGGCUCCCACAAGAGGUGUGUGUGUACCUUGACUUUAUUUAUGAAUAUUUGUCAAAAAGUAUGUCACACGCCAAGGUAUUCAGCUAUUUGGUUUGGAACGUAAACAGCGCAACCAACCCUUGGCUGUACGCAUACUUUAAUAGAGCAUUAAGACUACACCACCUCAGCCUUCUUAAUAAUAUCACGACCUUCUUUGCGCUCAAACGAAUAAGAACCAACAACCAAAUCAAUGUUAAGGAGUCGACUCGAGGAGAGAAUGGAUCGGCAACCUCACCGCAGUAGGAGAGACCUCCCAUCUACACAGCUAAUCUGAUUCAAUGUUAGGUGGCGUACUGAAUGGAUGGAUCACCGCACCGCAGGAGGAGAGACCUCCCAUCCACACAGCGAAUCUGAUUCAAUGUUAGGUGGCACACUGAAUGAAUGGAUCACCGCACCGCAGUAGGACAGACCUCCCAUCCACACAGCGAAUCUGAUUCAAUGUUAGGUGGCACACUGAAUGGAUGGAUCACCGCCGCACCGCAGUAGUUGUAGUAGUAGUGAACAGCACAACGAAUAGACCACAAGCUAUCCAGUGAACAGUAUUCAACCAAAUGUCAAUAUUUUGGGCUGAUCUAAGCCAGGAAAUCCAAUCUAUUUGCUUAUUAGAGAUUAUGAACAUUAAUAAUAACAAUCCUUUAAGUUUUGGCUGACUCUAUAAAUUGAGUGCCGGUUCAAAAAAUCCCGACCCUCCCAUCCCUUCUUUAUUCUUGCGCAUUCUCGCAUCCCGCGUUUCUUUGAAACUGAAGACGAAGACUAUUUAAAAAAAUACUAUAGCAUACUAGCUCGUUCCAAGCCCAAAGAGUUGGCGUUUGUAGAUUAAGCAUGAUUKAAAUUACAACAGAUUAACAUUGCCGCACUUGAAAAUAAAUUCGUUUUUCGUGUCUUCCGUACAAGUAAUGACGUCAGAUCGAUACUGUCAUGGUUACGUAUGACGUAAGAAACCAGGAAACGAUUAAGACUUUCAAUGUCGGUGUAUCUUUUCUCUCAUUUGUAACAUGAAAUAGGUUGAAUUGAAAUAUUUCCUAUACUAUCGAUUAACUAUCAAUAUUGAUUGCUGUAAUCUAUUUGAUCAAGAAAUCACUAGUUUAUCGUCAAACUUUCUCUUCCAUCAUUAAGGACAUGUUAAAGACUUGACCUAAACUAAUACGCCAAGACAGGUGUUAUUGAUCCUUAAUGCAAUAAAAAGCGGUCAAUAUGGAAAUCGCUUCUCUCAGUA